RNAcentral lists this ribosomal RNA (253 nucleotides) under uncultured bacterium. RNAcentral describes it as "partial 16S ribosomal RNA". It matches the Rfam family "Bacterial small subunit ribosomal RNA", at positions 524 to 776 of the family's 1533-position model. The record is from RNAcentral.
UACAGAGGGUGCGAGCGUUAAUCGGAAUUACUGGGCGUAAAGCGUGCGCAGGCGGUUGUGCAAGACAGAUGUGAAAUCCCCGGGCUCAACCUGGGAACUGCAUUUGUGACUGCACAGCUUGAGUGCGGCAGAGGGGGAUGGAAUUCCGCGUGUAGCAGUGAAAUGCGUAGAUAUGCGGAGGAACACCGAUGGCGAAGGCAAUCCCCUGGGCCUGCACUGACGCUCAUGCACGAAAGCGUGGGGAGCAAACAGG